This 651-nucleotide ribosomal RNA is filed under the name Triticum aestivum (bread wheat). RNAcentral describes it as "partial small subunit ribosomal RNA". The record is from RNAcentral. Lineage: Eukaryota; Viridiplantae; Streptophyta; Magnoliopsida; Poales; Poaceae.
AUGAAGAGCAGGAGGCAGAGCGGCCGCGGAGGAGCCAUGGUCGCCGACGGGGGCUGCAAGAUGGAGCGCAAGGACGUGGAGAAGAACCGCAGGCUGCACAUGAAGGGCCUCUGCCUCAAGCUCUCCUCCCUCGUUCCGGCCUCCUCCUCCUCUGACCACCACCUCAGACACUAUUCUUCCUCGCCGCCGUCCAGCAACAAGGACGCGGCGACGCAGCUGGACCAGCUGGACAGCGCGGCGGCCUACAUCAAGCAGCUCCGGGGCCGGAUCGACGACCUCAAGCGCCGCAAGCAGGCCGCCCUCUCCGGCGGCACCGCCGGCUGCUCAUCCUCCGUCUCCGCCGGCGACUACAAGGCACAGACGACUUCGCUGCCGGUGAUCGAGGUGCGGCACCACGACGGAACUCUGGACGUGGCGCUGGUGAGCGAGGUCGGGCGGCCGUUCCGGCUGCACGAGGUGAUCGCCGUGUUGGAGCAGGAGGGCGCCGAGGUAGUCAGCGCCAGCUUCUCCGUCGUCGGCGACAAGAUCUUCUACACGCUCCACUCCCAGGCGUUCUGCCCACGCAUCGGCCUCGACGCCCGCCGCGUCGACCAACGGCUCCGCGGCCUCGCCGCAGCAGCCACCAUCUCGUCGUCGGUCCUCCUCACAUGA